Small nucleolar RNA from Alnus glutinosa, 93 nucleotides. RefSeq annotates it as small nucleolar RNA Z103. NCBI's taxonomy places the organism in Eukaryota, Viridiplantae, Streptophyta, Magnoliopsida, Fagales, Betulaceae. The record is from RefSeq and is a predicted model, not a curated record. The transcript has a single exon.
AUGGAAGUGAUGACUCUUUCCCCAAAUGAUCGACGCUGAUUAAACUGAGCGAUAUUUUCUCUUUUGAGAAACCAAGCCAAUGUUCUGAUCCAU